UGUUGUAAGUGAUAACGGUCUUUCUUGCACCAUCUCCGAAGAGGAAGAUGUUGUUCUUCUUCUUAGGGAUGAUAACUUGCUCUCUGUAGAUACCGGCCUUAAUGUAGAUGAUGCAUCGGCCAGGGUUUUUAUCGGGACAAGCGUUAACAGCUUGUUGGACCGAGUUAAACUGUCCGCUUCCAUCCUUGGCCACAACAAAGUUAGCUCUGAUUCUAGCACCACCACCGCCGCGUCUUCGGCCACGUCCAGCAUUUGCCAUGAGCUUCCUGUCUGCACCUGAAACCCAUGUUGGGAGUCCGGUCUCGUCAAUGUCUUCAAGGAGACGACGAGAAGGACCAUCUGGGUCAGCCACGGGAGUAUCAACGACAGGAGGAGUUUCUUUGUUGACGGGAGCUGCUCCUUUGUCGGAAGGAGAAAAGACUCCGCUUGUCAUGUUCUUGAAAUCAUCGACCUUGACGUUAAGCUUGGCCAUCGCGCUGACGACGGUGUGGAAGAUAUCAAUAGCAUUGCCAGUGAGAAUCUUGGAGCUUGCAAUGCCUUCUCCAAUAGUCUUUCUCAAAUCAUCUUCCUGAAUAUCGUCAAGGCAAUCGGUUUGGUAAUUGUAGACACCGGUUAACCAUUGUUUAAGCUGGUCAAUUUUGCUACCGAUCUGGUUAAGAUCGUCACCCAUUUCCUCAAGAAUGGUACCGAGAUCCUCAAGCGCGUACAGGAAAACUUUCUUGCAGUAUUCAAGAACGGCUUUAUUGUUUGGCGAGAUGCUCGAACCCAAGUCUCCUUCGGUUUUACCCGUGAAGUUUGAUGAUUUGGUUAGUGCAUCUUGUGUAGCAAGCAUGAAGGCCUUGAUCAGCUUGUUUGGGUCAUCGCUCUUGACCGGCUCAAGAGUUUUGACACAUGAGGCUUUGUCGGAAGUACCUUGGCAAAUACCUUGAACGGCUUUCAUCUGAGGAGACAAGGGAGUGUUGCCAUUUUUAUUAAUGAUGACAACGACUCCUAUGGCUACUCCGACCAAUAGGAGAACAGAGGCCACCGAGACAACAACUUUUCCAAUCAUUUUAAAAUAUUUCUAAUUUUUGUGUAUUUUUUGAAUAUUUUUUUUUUGCUCCCUCCGGUUUAUUAGAGAUAUCGGAGAGGGAGGGGCUUUAUUAGAGAAAAGCCAAGUUGUUUAGUGACUUGGGGCAGCGAAUAUUGCAAUGGAUUAGGGGGGAUUUAUAUAAGCUUUUGGUUUCUAAAAAUAGACGUGCAUGGAUUUUGCAUGGAGCGAGAGAUUAACGGUCGACGAGUGGCUGAGAAUAUCUGGUCAAAAAGCUCUAAUUAGCUUACGAGACUAUCUAAUUACUUACGAGGUUUAAAUUUGGCCACCACAAGAUAAAUAUAUAUGGUUUUUACCAAAAUGGAUAAACAUGGCGUACGUUCCUGAUCAAUUAGAGGUGGCUUGACUGGCAAAUGACAAUAACUAUAUGUAAAUAAAUAAAUCUUUUCAAAAAAAAUAUAAAUAAAUAAGAAAAUAUUACAUUAUAGGACACUUAUUGAGUUUUUAUUUCAUCCUAGGUCACUUGUUGCUACUAACACACUUUUCUUGUACUUUCUCUACCAACGCCUCUAGUACAAUAUCUCUUUUACCCUUUCUUCCAAGUUUUUAUUCCUUUCUAACUAAAACAACCGACUAAAAAAUUACUUCAUCUCAUCUUCUUAAUUUUGAAAUCUUCUCGUAUCCAUGGUAAAGGGAGUAAAGAAAAAAAUCUUUAUAAAAGAAAAAAAAAUAAAAAAUUCUCCAAAUCGGACGAUACUUCUCCGAUUUUGACUAAUUCUAACCCAGAAAAUCCUCAUAUUUCUGAAAUAUUGUCUUCAUUCUCUCUUUAUUUUCCCAAUUUCUUUUGGGACAUACGAGAGACAAACAAAAAAUAAUUUGUUAGUACAACUUCAUUCCCAUGCAUAUUAUCCUAUCGAAAACAAAUGUUGUAUUUUUCACCUUUUACAGAAGAAACAAGUACUAGUCUUUUUUGUUUUUUAUAUGCUUUAAAAUCCAAACGUGACAGGAACGUUAGCUUGUUGAAUCCAGUUAGCGGGACUUAACCAGUUAGCCACAGUGAACUGAUUAACUUCACCUGCGGUCCUAGCGAUCUUAGCCCAGUUAACUCUCCUAUUCGUGUUAGCUCCUGGUCCACGGUUGUUGUAUUCAACGUACCUACAUGACUUGUGGAAAUUUUCACCAUCCCACACUCUCCAACCUUCUGGUCUAAUCAAAUCACCGAUCUCAGUGUUCAUGAUCACAGUGGUCGAGUAUUGCUUCCAUGGCCUUCCCAAGUAUGACUCUACGGUGAACCUCUCUGCCGCUAGUUUCCUGUCCGGAACGAUGCGGCAGUGUUGGAGGACGAUACCGAUUUUCAUGGCUAAUCCCUUUUCGUUUCCGUCGGCUGUGACGGUGUUGUAUUGUCCCUUGUUUCCUUUACGGACGACGAUGAGUGAGUUUUGGAUAACGGUUGCUGAUUUUCCGAAGAUGAAAUCGACUGUUCCUGAGACGACACAGUUUCUGUAGAAUUGACGUCCGUUGUUGACGUAUAGAGUGUCUUGGAAUCCGUCGAAUCUACAGUUGAAGAGGACAGCACGGUCUCCAUUGACUCGGAUGGCCGCGGCUUGGUGCCCAUUUGGACCGGCUGUGUUCUUGAAUCCGAUAUAUUUCGCGAUGAAUCCUUCAGAUUCGACCUCUACAUAAGCAAUAUGAGUUUAUCAGGAUUAAAUAGAGAUUAUUGAGUCGAUCUUAAUAUCUAAAAAAGUGUAAGGAUAUAAACUCUCACAUUGCGUAUUCUGUUGGGACAUAGUAAUAUAUAAGAUACUUAUACUAAUCUAUUUAUGGCCGAUUGGUUUGUAAUAGUAAUUAGCAAAUUAGGGUGUGAUGAGACUUACGGACUGUGGCACUGAGAGAAGUGGUGGUUCCAGAACUGAGACCAACACUUCUGUUGUAAGUGAUAACGGUCUUUCUUGCACCAUCUCCGAAGAGGAAGAUGUUGUUCUUCUUCUUAGGGAUGAUAACUUGCUCUCUGUAGAUACCGGCCUUAAUGUAGAUGAUGCAUCGGCCAGGGUUUUUAUCGGGACAAGCGUUAACAGCUUGUUGGACCGAGUUAAACUGUCCGCUUCCAUCCUUGGCCACAACAAAGUUAGCUCUGAUUCUAGCACCACCACCGCCGCGUCUUCGGCCACGUCCA
This 3203-nucleotide long non-coding RNA is filed under the name Brassica napus (rape). RNAcentral describes it as "long non-coding RNA (BNAP_LNC002330)". Lineage: Eukaryota; Viridiplantae; Streptophyta; Magnoliopsida; Brassicales; Brassicaceae. The record is from RNAcentral.